This 253-nucleotide ribosomal RNA is filed under the name uncultured bacterium. Its description in RNAcentral is "partial 16S ribosomal RNA". It matches the Rfam family "Bacterial small subunit ribosomal RNA", at positions 524 to 776 of the family's 1533-position model. The record is from RNAcentral.
UACGUAGGGCGCAAGCGUUAUCCGGAAUUAUUGGGCGUAAAGAGCUCGUAGGCGGUUUGUCGCGUCGGGAGUGAAAACUCAGGGCUCAACCCUGAGCGUGCUUCCGAUACGGGCAGACUAGAGGUAUGCAGGGGAGAACGGAAUUCCUGGUGUAGCGGUGGAAUGCGCAGAUAUCAGGAGGAACACCGGUGGCGAAGGCGGUUCUCUGGGCAUGACCUGACGCUGAGGAGCGAAAGCAUGGGGAGCGAACAGG